UAAAACUCAUAUCUCCAGCUCGCUCGUCCUCCACUCUGUUUAAACAAAGCAACUCCAGCCCCUCCACUCAUCACUCUCACAAUUAUAAAUCACGCACCUCCCUUCCUUUCUUCUUCUUCCUUCUUUCCUCUUCUUUCGUCUUCUCGCCCAAGUACACAGACCCACCGAGAGAGAGACAUCGAGAGAAUGAGAGAAAGAGUGAGUCCGAGAGAGAGAGAGAGAGAGAACUGGAGAUCAGACCCCGAGAGAAAGAACCCGGAGGACCCGUGAGGAGCCGAGAAGGAUCCAGAGACCCACAUCCAUGGGUCGACGCCGGCGGACCGAUCAGAGGUCCGAAACUCCAUGGGUCGUCGGCGGUGAACCCAGAGGGUACAAUCUCUGGCGGUUUCAAAGCGUUGUCCGGCGGUGCUUGUGAAGAUCAGUGCUAUCACCGAUUGGUGAUUUCUCGGUAGAUUUUCUGUAGUUAAACAGAAAAUUCGUAAGAUUUAUGGCACCUCGACGUUAUCCCAUUUGUAGUGAAAACUACGAAAACCAUCGUCAUGGCAACCGUGAUGACGAAUUUCCAUCUCCACCUCUACCAUUUAGUGAUGGAGUGAAUCCGGCCUUAGCACAAUUUAUGGCUGAAACUACUAGGCAGUUUGCCGAAGUAGUGGCAAGAAUUUCACAGCCGGUCGGCCGUUUUGAACAAGUAGGUUGCUCUAUGCGUGAUUUUGCUAGCCAGCAAUUUUUCCUAUUUGAUGGAACACAGGGACCGUUAGUAGCCAAAGCCUGGAUUACAGAUAUCCAGUUAUUGCGUGAGACACCUGGCUGUACCAACGAGUAGAAGGUUAGGUACACAGGACUAAGGAUAAUUGAUAAAGCUGCAAAAUGGUGGAAGUCUAAGAAAGAACUCUUAGGGAUAGAGUUGGGACAUAGGGUUGCUAUCCCUUGGGAUAGGUUUGUAGAAGAAUUUAAUGGGCGCUUCUUUCUGAGGGCACAAAGGCAAAUGCGGGCCAUCGAAUUCCAGAAUCUGGUACAAGGCGCUAUGACGGUAGAGCAAUAUUCGUCUAGGUUUAUUGAACUAGCAAGGUUUGGCCUCAACCUAAUCCCUGAUGAAGAAUCAAAGGCGGAACGCUUCGAAAAUGGCCUUAAUCCUCGUAUUAAGGAGAGAGUCAUGUGUCAUGAAAUCAGAAAUUUUGUCAAACUGGUUGAUAUAGCAUCAAUUGUCGAAAGAGGAAUGCGCGAAUCAUCCGCCGCUUAUGAACUAAAGAGGCAAACAACAUCACAGGUGACCUACCCAUCACAGGUAGUUGUUUUUCAAUUACCAGGUGUUGAAAGAUUUAAAACAUUCCUCUUUCGGCAAUUGAUGUUAUAUCGACCAGUUUGACAAAGUUUCUGAUUUCAUGACACAUGACUCUCUCCUUAAUACGAGGAUUAAGGCCAUUUUUGAAGCGUUCUGCCUUUGAUUCUUCAUCAGGGAUUAGGUUGAGGCCAAACCUUGCUAGUUCAAUAAACCUAGACGAAUAUUGCUCUACCGUUAUAGCGCCUUGUACCAGAUUUUGGAAUUCAAUGGCUCGUAUUUGCCUUUGUGCCCUCGGAAAGAAGCGCCCAUUGAAUUCUUCUACAAACCUAUCCCAAGGGAUAGCAGCCCUAUGUCCCAACUCUAUCCCUAAGGUCUCGUUUGGUUCGCGGAAUGGCUAUUCCAUUAGGAAAAGGAAUAGCUAUUCCUUGAAAUAGAAGAAGGUGGAAUAUAAUAGCUAUUCCUAUUCUUUUGUUUGGUUGUAAUGCUGAAAUAGAACACUGAAUAUGUAUUCCUUUGUUUGGUACAAUGCAAUACGCUGGUGAAUGAAAUCAUAUUGUAAUCAAAUUUUCUAAAACACCCUUAUAAUACAAAUAUAAUUUGCAUUCUUAA
Long non-coding RNA from Alnus glutinosa, 1891 nucleotides. RefSeq lists it as uncharacterized. Lineage: Eukaryota; Viridiplantae; Streptophyta; Magnoliopsida; Fagales; Betulaceae. The record is from RefSeq and is a predicted model, not a curated record. The transcript is spliced from 2 exons.